This 163-nucleotide ribosomal RNA is filed under the name Aucuba japonica. RNAcentral describes it as "5.8S ribosomal RNA". It matches the Rfam family "5.8S ribosomal RNA". From Rfam's summary of the family: 5.8S ribosomal RNA (5.8S rRNA) is a component of the large subunit of the eukaryotic ribosome. It is transcribed by RNA polymerase I as part of the 45S precursor that also contains 18S and 28S rRNA. The record is from RNAcentral. Lineage: Eukaryota; Viridiplantae; Streptophyta; Magnoliopsida; Garryales; Garryaceae.
AAAAUGACUCUCGGCAACGGAUAUCUCGGCUCUCGCAUCGAUGAAGAACGUAGCGAAAUGCGAUACUUGGUGUGAAUUGCAGAAUCCCGUGAACCAUCGAGUCUUUGAACGCAAGUUGCGCCCGAAGCCAUUACGCUAAGGGCACGUCUGCCUGGGCGUCACG